GACGAACGCUGGCGGCGUGCUUAACACAUGCAAGUCGAACGGAAAGGCCCUGCGUUUGUGGGGUGCUCGAGUGGCGAACGGGGGAGUAACACGUGAGUAACCUGCCCUUGACUUUGGGAUAACUUCAGGAAACUGGGGCUAAUACCGGAUAGGAGCUCCUGCUGCAUGGUGGGGGUUGGAAAGUUUCGGCGGUUGGGGAUGGACUCGCGGCUUAUCAGCUUGUUGGUGGGGUAGUGGCUUACCAAGGCUUUGACGGGUAGCCGGCCUGAGAGGGUGACCGGCCACAUUGGGCCUGCGAUACGGCCCAGACUCGUACGUGAGGCAGCAGUGGGGAAUCUUACACAAUGGGCGGAAGCCUGAUGCAGCAACGCCGCGUGCGGGAUGACGGCCUUCGGGUUGUAAACCGAUUUCGCCUGUGACGAAGAGUGAGUGACGGUAAUGGGUAAAGAAGCACCGGCUAACUACGUG
RNAcentral lists this ribosomal RNA (468 nucleotides) under uncultured bacterium. RNAcentral describes it as "partial 16S ribosomal RNA". It matches the Rfam family "Bacterial small subunit ribosomal RNA", at positions 28 to 507 of the family's 1533-position model. The record is from RNAcentral.